AUGAACUUCCUUGGCGAGCUUCUCUGCACCCCGAGGACGGCCUCCUGCAGACACGCCCAGGCCAGCCCCUCCUGCCCUUGCCUGGGUGGGGUCAUCACUCUAACAGACUUUCCCCGGAGAGCUGUGUUGCCUUUGGCCCUCCUGUGCUGUUUUCCCUCCCACAGCCUGAAGGGUUUGGAGAAUUCCACCCUCUGCUGUUGCUUGAAGAUCUACUUCUCUGCCCAGGCAAUUCUCAAUCCCUUUCCAGUAUUUCUCAUCAUGGAUUCACAAGUUUUCAUUUUAAAGUUUCACAGCUGGAGAUCCUCACCCCAAUUCAAUAUCCUUGGGCUAAACAGAGUCCUCGUUUUAUGGCUGUUGUGAAACUAUAUUCUUGGAACAGUGACAAUCUCUGACUCCUCUAAAAUCAUGGCCAGUUGAACCCACUUGUGUCAUUGGGAUUGGCAAUAAAAACAGGUUGGAUACUAAGCAGAUACACCUGCCUCUCAGGCGGAUCUCAGGUGCCAAAAGAUGGACUGAUUGUGUGGACCAAGCUCUAUGCACUGGGAGGAAAGGAAUGAAAUGGAAUUCCCUUGGGAAGCUGGAGCCUCGGGGAGUACAGAUCAAAUAAACCUCCCUCCUGAGCAGGCUGCCCUUCCAUCUGACAGUGAAAUGAUCCAGUUUUCUUGGGCUAUGAAUAUGGAAAGACCUUUAGCCCCACCUUAGCCAACACAUGAAAAAGUAUAUGAUCCUGGCAGGAUCCCAUCUUCAAGAAGGCACUAGACCAGACCAUCUGCACCUUGUCAUUUCUUUAAUAAAAUGGGAUUUCAUUACCUUGGCCCUGUCAGCAUUUUUAUCUUGCCUGCUGCCUCUUUUCUCUCUUUCCCAUACUUGGAGUGGGUUGCCGGGUUACCUGAAAAGAGACCAUUUUUCAAAGCAAAAUAUUACAUUACUAUUACUAAUAUCACUAUUUAUACCAUAUCCUUUCUGUGCCAGUCACUGUGCUAAGUGUCCAUUAUGGACAUUAUCUUGAAUCUUCACAACAACUUCCUAAGGUAAAUAUUGUUUUUCAUUAUAGCAAAUUAUCAUUUUAAAUGAGAAGUAAACUAAGGCUUUGUCUCAUUAGAUAAUUUGCCCAAAGUCAUACAUUUCUAUGUGAUGAAACUGGAGUUUGGAAACUAAACCUGCUAAUGCCAAAUACUUUGUUUCUUCUCAUCAUUAUCAAGAGCUGAUUAAAAUGCAUUUUCAUUAAAUUGAUCUUAGCAAAAUUUAGCCAGAUUCCAUUUUGAUUCCCAAAUUAAGCAGCCACAGUGGCAUUGCAAGCCUAAACCUUGAGGUGACUGGUCAUCAGAGGGAGUCCAGCCUUCUUAAAUGCAUAACCAUUCCAUAGCAGCCUUCCAGAACCUUCCAUGGGGAUCCCUGCCUAGAAGUCUUGGCAAAAACACCUGAAAAAACCCUGCCCCCUCACCAUCAGAGCAUCUGUGCACCAGCUUUGUCCUGCCUCUCUCUUGGCUCAGCAGGGCUGACAGCAGCAAGUGGAAUUCGGCUCUGGCCCUGUGGCCUGACCCCACUGUCUGCACUGAUCAGGUGUGAGAUGCCAAUACUUGCUUUGCAAUUUUACAUUUUGAUGCCAGUGCAACCUUUGAACCAGCUGUUUAAAAAACAAAUAGCUUUAAAAACCGCUGUGAAGUGAUGACCUUAUGCAGGUUGGAUUUCUGCCCUUGGAGGGGUUGGGGUGGCUUCCCUCAGACAAGCUGCAGCUUGUGAGCCACUCAGGGGCUGGCUCUUGGUCAGUAGCUAUCGAAGUGCAAUGAGAGCCACAUCUGUUUGUAAAUCUUCAAGAGAAAUUGAGUUGGGUUUUCUUUUCUUCAAAUGUGGAGAAGAAAAGAACAUACUUCCAGUUGGUGAAGCUCUGUGUUUAUAACCAGGGUAUCUUCUCUCUUACUAACAAAUGCUUUUCAAGAAGCAUUCCAAAGAUGGCUAGACUGGAUUUUGGAAUUAGAAUAUGAAAAUACUGCCUCCAGAGAAAAUUUCAUAAAGCCCUGAUCACUCUGUGGACUUCUUUUGGCUCUGUCCCUGCUUUACACAUGGGACACAGUCUUAAACUCGAGUUCCUCAAAAGGCCAGGAGGGACCCCUUUGUUCCCUCAGUUACACCCCGCUAGAGGUUGAGCAUGGAUGAUGCUCUGUCACUUCA
Molecule: long non-coding RNA, 2172 nt
Filed under: Microcebus murinus (gray mouse lemur)
Lineage: Eukaryota; Metazoa; Chordata; Mammalia; Primates; Cheirogaleidae
Description: lncRNA (ENSMICG00000048466.1)
Source: RNAcentral